CAGGGUGUGGUGAAGUGGUUAACACGGGCGAUUGUGGCUCGUCCAUUCGAGGGUUCGAUUCCCUCCUCCCUGAUUU
RNAcentral lists this transfer RNA (76 nucleotides) under Bacillus phage QCM8. RNAcentral's name for it is "tRNA-His". It matches the Rfam family "tRNA". Rfam says of the family: Transfer RNA (tRNA) molecules are approximately 80 nucleotides in length. Their secondary structure includes four short double-helical elements and three loops (D, anti-codon, and T loops). Further hydrogen bonds mediate the characteristic L-shaped molecular structure. tRNAs have two regions of fundamental functional importance: the anti-codon, which is responsible for specific mRNA codon recognition, and the 3' end, to which the tRNAs corresponding amino acid is attached (by aminoacyl-tRNA synthetases). tRNAs cope with the degeneracy of the genetic code in two manners: having more than one tRNA (with a specific anti-codon) for a particular amino acid; and 'wobble' base-pairing, i.e. permitting non-standard base-pairing at the 3rd anti-codon position. Lineage: Duplodnaviria; Heunggongvirae; Uroviricota; Caudoviricetes; Herelleviridae. The record is from RNAcentral.